GCUUCAUCCACGGCCCACUUCCUGCUGUCACCUGAAGAUGUCCAUCCUGAAGAGGUUUGAAAAAAGUUCGGGGCAGCUGUGGGCCACAGGAAAGCGCUGGGGUCUGGACGUGCAGAUGGCGCCUUUGUUGGGUCCCCUGAGCCAUGCGGCUGCAGGAGAAGGACAGAUGGCGCAGCAGUGAGAGUGGCAGCUCUUUGUUUGCUGAGCGACUCCCGGUCUGCGCCUGCAUGACCUCUGUGGCUGAGGCGAGCUGGAAGCUCCUUCCUGGGCGCGUGGACCAGGCCUAGCAGGGCACCUGACAGCGGGGCUCACAGGCAUGUGCACUGCCCACUGCUGCCGGGCUCUGGACGGGACGGCGGGGUGGCCGGCUCCGUGACUGACACAUGUGCUGAGCAGUGUGCUGGGACACGCCUGCAUGCGGACACACAUGAGCAGAGGACAGGGAGCAGGACCCUCUCUGCUGGACACGCAGAGGCACAGGGGCCCUGGGCAGUGGCUCAGCUGGUGACAGGGGCACAGCCACGCAGUGUGUGGGCUGAGCACAGGCUCUGGGGGCCAGCGGGAGUCCCUGAUGAGAACCCAAGAGUGACAGCCGUCCUUCCUGCGUACCAUUCACACUUCCACAACUGCUCAGCACUGUUUUGCCAUUCAAGUUCGUGCGUGCAGAGCUGAUGGCUUUGCCUCACUUUGAAGUAGUAGGACAGAGGUGAGCGAUGUAGGACUUCAGUCACCCACCACGUCUUCCCUCCUCCCGGCAUGUGGUGUGGAAGUGCAUGGGGCGGGAGUGCCAGGUGUGAGUGGGCAGCAUGGCCGGCUGCGUCCUGGUCCGGCUGGGUCCUGGUCCGGCUGGGUCCUGGGCUGGGUAGGUCCUGGGCUGGCUGGGUCCUGGGCUGGCUGGGUCCUGGUUUGUCUGAGCUGAAGGUCUGGACACGCCCUCCCCAGCUUUUACUUUGCUGAUCAACAAAUGCCUCUCAGGAGUGCACUUCGUACCAGGCAUGCGAGCAGAAUGGAACCUUUGCUUCCACUUAGCCACACACUCCUCUGAUUUUGCUUGCGAAGUGUGAAUGCGCUCUCGCUGUAUGUCCCACAUCUGCCCCUACCAGCACGAGACGUCCGCAUG
RNAcentral lists this long non-coding RNA (1120 nucleotides) under Heterocephalus glaber (naked mole-rat). RNAcentral's name for it is "lncRNA (ENSHGLG00000035201.1)". The record is from RNAcentral. Lineage: Eukaryota; Metazoa; Chordata; Mammalia; Rodentia; Bathyergidae.